UACGCAGGCGGCCUUUUAAGUCAGAUGUGAAAUCUUACGGCUCAACCGUAAUUAGCAUUUGAAACUGAAAGGCUUGAGUUAAGGAGAGGAAAGUGGAAUUCCUAGUGUAGCGGUGAAAUGCGUAGAUAUUAGGAGGAAUACCAGUGGCGAAGGCGACUUUCUGGACUUAUACUGACGCUGAGGUACGAAAGCGUGGGGAGCGAACA
RNAcentral lists this ribosomal RNA (206 nucleotides) under uncultured bacterium. Its description in RNAcentral is "partial 16S ribosomal RNA". It matches the Rfam family "Bacterial small subunit ribosomal RNA", at positions 568 to 774 of the family's 1533-position model. The record is from RNAcentral.